This is a non-coding RNA of Ciona savignyi (Pacific transparent sea squirt), 82 nucleotides long. Lineage: Eukaryota; Metazoa; Chordata; Ascidiacea; Phlebobranchia; Cionidae. The record is from Rfam.
GUCGUCGUGGCCGAGUGGUUAAGGCGACAGACUUGAAAUCUUUUGGGCCCCGCCCGCACUAGUUCGAAUCUUGUCGGCGACG